Molecule: non-coding RNA, 72 nt
Organism: Phrynosoma platyrhinos (Desert horned lizard)
Lineage: Eukaryota; Metazoa; Chordata; Lepidosauria; Squamata; Phrynosomatidae
Source: the annotation of a GenBank genome assembly
GAUUUCGUGGUGUAGUGGUUUGAAUGCUGGACUAUGACACUGGAGACUAGGGUUCGAAUUCCAACUUAGCCA